Long non-coding RNA from Schistocerca cancellata (South American locust), 211 nucleotides. RefSeq lists it as uncharacterized. The record is from RefSeq and is a predicted model, not a curated record. The transcript has 3 exons. NCBI's taxonomy places the organism in Eukaryota, Metazoa, Arthropoda, Insecta, Orthoptera, Acrididae.
AAGAAAGGAAAAGAGCUUUCUGUUCAACCUUGCUUUGUGCAGCAAUUCAAAGUUCAGUCAGAAAAAUAUUUCCUUUGACAACCGAAGAACAGUUUAAAACCAACAUAGGACACUGGCUUCAACAGUCAAAAAACAGAAGUCAAACCCCACGGACCAUUAUACCGGCAGAAGCCAGUGAUUUUAGAUCCUGCUCUGGUCUGUGUGCUGGGGC